CGGUCUGAACUCAGAUCACGUAAGAAAUUAAAAGUCGAACAGACUUAAAUAUUAAGCUACUGCACCUAAUAUUAUAUCUUAAUCCAACAUCGAGGUCGCAAUCUUUUUUAUCAAUAAGAACUUUCCAAAAAAAUUACGCUGUUAUCCCUAAAGUAACUUAAUUUAAUAAUCAAUAAUAAUGGAUCAAUUAUUCAUAAAUUAAUGUAUUAAAAUUUAAAAGUUUAUCAAAUUUUAAUGUCUCCCCAACAAAAUAUAAAUAAUUAUAAUAUAAAAAUAAAACUAAAUAUAUAAAAUAAAUAUUUAUAUAAAGAUUUAUAGGGUCUUCUCGUCUUUUAAAUUAAUUUUAGCUUUUUGACUAAAAAAUAAAAUUCUAUAUUAAAUUUAUAUGAAACAGUUAAUAUCUCGUCCAACCAUUCAUUCCAGCCUUCAAUUAAAAGACUAAUUAUUAUGCUACCUUUGCACAGUUAAUAUACUGCGGCCAUUUAAAAUUUCAGUGGGCAGGCUAAACUUUAAAUAAAAUCUAAAAGACAUGUUUUUGUUAAACAGGCG
This 549-nucleotide ribosomal RNA is filed under the name Collinias sp. A JHS-2000. RNAcentral describes it as "partial 16S ribosomal RNA". The record is from RNAcentral. Lineage: Eukaryota; Metazoa; Arthropoda; Insecta; Diptera; Pipunculidae.